UACGGAGGGUGCGAGCGUUAAUCGGAAUUACUGGGCGUAAAGGGCGCGUAGGCGGCUGAUCAAGUCAGGUGUGAAAGCCCACGGCUUAACCGUGUGAAGUGCAUCUGAAACUGGUCGGCUUGAGUAUCGGAGAGGAAAGUGGAAUUCCCGGUGUAGAGGUGAAAUUCGUAGAUAUCGGGGAGGAAACUACCCGGUAGUCGGACGGGAACGGGACCUUUACGUCCCCCGGUACGGGGAACCUAAACUUACGUACGGACCGUCGUACGGACGUCGGAAACGACCGGUAAAGGGGGA
This 294-nucleotide ribosomal RNA is filed under the name uncultured bacterium. Its description in RNAcentral is "partial 16S ribosomal RNA". It matches the Rfam family "Bacterial small subunit ribosomal RNA", at positions 524 to 766 of the family's 1533-position model. The record is from RNAcentral.